UCCCUGGCAAUCCAGUGGUUAACACUCUGCACUUUCAAUGCAGGGGGCACAGGUUCGAUCCCUGGUCAGGGAA
Molecule: transfer RNA, 73 nt
Filed under: Bos taurus (domestic cattle)
Lineage: Eukaryota; Metazoa; Chordata; Mammalia; Artiodactyla; Bovidae
Also listed under: 5 other names
Rfam family: tRNA
About the family: Transfer RNA (tRNA) molecules are approximately 80 nucleotides in length. Their secondary structure includes four short double-helical elements and three loops (D, anti-codon, and T loops).
Source: Rfam by way of RNAcentral